RNAcentral lists this ribosomal RNA (354 nucleotides) under uncultured bacterium. RNAcentral describes it as "bacterial SSU rRNA". It matches the Rfam family "Bacterial small subunit ribosomal RNA", at positions 32 to 377 of the family's 1533-position model. The record is from RNAcentral.
AAUCAACGCUGGCGGCGUGCCUCAGACAUGCAAGUCGAACGCGAAAGUCCCCUUCGGGGGAGUGAUUAGAGUGGCGCACGGGUGAGUAACACGUAGGUAAUCUACCUUCGAGUGGGGAAUAACUCAGGGAAACUUGAGCUAAUACCGCAUAAUGCAGCGGCACCACAUGGUGACAGUUGUUAAAGCAUUUAUGCGCUUGAAGAGGAGCCUGCGGCAGAUAGCUAGUUGGUAAGGUAAUGGCUUACCAAGGCUACGAUCCGUAACCGGCCUGAGAGGGCGGACGGUCACACUGACACUGAAUAACGGGUCAGACUCCUACGGGAGGCAGCAGUCGGGAAUUUUGGGCAAUGGGCG